RNAcentral lists this ribosomal RNA (380 nucleotides) under uncultured eukaryote. Its description in RNAcentral is "partial 18S ribosomal RNA". It matches the Rfam family "Eukaryotic small subunit ribosomal RNA", at positions 592 to 976 of the family's 1831-position model. The record is from RNAcentral.
CAAUAGCGUAUAUUAAAGUUGUUGCAGUUAAAAAGCUCGUAGUUGGAUUUGUGGCGUACGGUGUGUUCCGGGCACUUGUUGUCUGAGUAACCUGCUGUUGCCAUCCUUGGGUGGAACCUGUGUGGCAUUAGGUUGUCGUGCAGGGGAUGCCCAUCAUUUACUGUGAAAAAAUUAGAGUGUUCAAAGCAGGCUUAUGCCGUUGAAUAUAUUAGCAUGGAAUGAUGAGAUAGGACUUUUUUGCUAUUUUGUUGGUUUGCGCAAAGAGGUAAUGAUUAAUAGGGACAGUUGGGGGUAUUCGUAUUCCAUUGUCAGAGGUGAAAUUCUUGGAUUUUUGGAAGACGAACUACUGCGAAAGCAUUUACCAAGGAUGUUUUCAUUAA